AGAGAAGGCGAGCAGCGACGGCCUCCAGGAGAAGCUGACCAUGUCGGUGGCGGUUCCGUUGCUGUGGGGAGUCCCUCCGGCAUCGGAGACCCUCCAUGUGGCCGUGCGGAGCGGCGGAGGCAUCGUUGACAAGAUCUACUGGCAGUGGGACCUGUUCUAAGAGCCCAGGCCCCCCAGACAUUGGUUGACAAAUAAUCCACCCCACCCACACUGUAUAUAUGAUCCUUAACUGGCCUGGCUGCACACAUUGUGUCAGCAUGCAACAACCUGUGUUGGUGUCCUUGUGCGCAACCAGCAAACUUGGUGUAUACUUGUACAGACCGACCUGAUUCCUCUGGUGCAUAUAAAUAAAUAAAAAGGGUUCCGAGUUCACAGUUCAUGUUCAAUAUAAUUCAUGUUCAG
RNAcentral lists this long non-coding RNA (402 nucleotides) under Hordeum vulgare. RNAcentral describes it as "long non-coding RNA (HVUL_LNC010923)". The record is from RNAcentral. Lineage: Eukaryota; Viridiplantae; Streptophyta; Magnoliopsida; Poales; Poaceae.